RNAcentral lists this ribosomal RNA (497 nucleotides) under uncultured bacterium. Its description in RNAcentral is "partial 16S ribosomal RNA". It matches the Rfam family "Bacterial small subunit ribosomal RNA", at positions 28 to 507 of the family's 1533-position model. The record is from RNAcentral.
GAUGAACGCUGGCGGCGUGCCUAAUACAUGCAAGUCGAGCGAACAGACGAGGAGCUUGCUCCUCUGACGUUAGCGGCGGACGGGUGAGUAACACGUGGAUAACCUACCUAUAAGACUGGGAUAACUUCGGGAAACCGGAGCUAAUACCGGAUAAUAUAUUGAACCGCAUGGUUCAAUAGUGAAAGACGGUUUUGCUGUCACUUAUAGAUGGAUCCGCGCCGCAUUAGCUAGUUGGUAAGGUAACGGCUUACCAAGGCAACGAUGCGUAGCCGACCUGAGAGGGGGGUCGGCCCCCCUGGAACUUGGCCCCGGUCCAGGCUCCCACGGGGGGGCGGAGGAGGGAAAUUUCCCGAAAGGGCGGAAACCUGGCGGGGCCACCGCGGGGGAGGUAAUAAGGUUUUCCGAUUCGUAAACCCUUUUUUUUGGGAAAAACAAAUGUUGAAGUUACCAUUCCCGGUUUGGCGGUAACUUAACAGAAAGGCCCGGCUAACUUCGUG